This is a non-coding RNA of Caenorhabditis elegans, 145 nucleotides long. The record is from Ensembl. NCBI's taxonomy places the organism in Eukaryota, Metazoa, Nematoda, Chromadorea, Rhabditida, Rhabditidae.
UUUACAUUCUCACACUUCCACUUUUCAAAAAAGUAAAGAAUACUACUUGUAAGGUGGUAGUGGACGACUGUCGGUGUCGGUUUUGUCGAGAUUUCGUCUUUCAUUCGACUGAUCGGACAACUAGAUACACUGAAUUAGGUGGUGA